Molecule: ribosomal RNA, 306 nt
Filed under: Triticum aestivum (bread wheat)
Lineage: Eukaryota; Viridiplantae; Streptophyta; Magnoliopsida; Poales; Poaceae
Description: partial small subunit ribosomal RNA
Source: RNAcentral
AUGGCCAACAAUGAAUUCUUAGACACUUUUGAGUAUGUCAUCAAGAGUGUGAAAGGGGAAAAUGAUGAUCUAAAGGGGAAGAUUAAAUACCCACACAAGGAUACUAUUCGGCCCGUUCAAGAGACAAAUCAGCUUAGGGACGGGAGGGAUAAGCUCGUCGAGGAUCAGGACAAACAGAAGGAGGAGAGGAGAUGCCUCACGGCUGAGAGGAUUGACCUGAAGAUGGACACAGAUCAUUUUAGAAAAGAAGGAGAGGGGGAUAGAAAGAAGCUUCUCCAGCUGGGCAUACUCCUUGAUGAAGAUUAG